GUGGGGAAUAUUGCGCAAUGGGCGAAAGCCUGACGCAGCGACGCCGCGUGAGGGAUGAAGGUCCUCGGAUCGUAAACCUCUGUCAGAAGGGAAGAAGUUGCACUGUGCUAAUCAGCGGUGCAUUGACGGUACCUUCAAAGGAAGCACCGGCUAACUCCGUGCCAGCAGCCGCGGUAAUACGGAGGGUGCGAGCGUUAAUCGGAAUUACUGGGCGUAAAGCGCACGUAGGCUGUAUAUCAAGUCAAGGGUGAAAUCCCCGGGCUCAACCUGGGAACUGCCUUUGAAACUGGUAAACUGGAGUAUGUGAGAGGGUGGCGGAAUUCCUGGUGUAGGAGUGAAAUCCGUAGAUAUCAGGAGGAACAUCAGUGGCGAAGGCGGCCACCUGGCACAAAACUGACGCUGAGGUGCGAAAGCGUGGGUAGCAAACAGGAUUAGAAACCCGAGUAGUCC
Molecule: ribosomal RNA, 450 nt
Filed under: uncultured bacterium
Lineage: Bacteria
Description: bacterial SSU rRNA
Rfam family: Bacterial small subunit ribosomal RNA
Source: RNAcentral